GCCCUUGUUGAUCCUGCCGGACCUGACUGCUAUCGGAUUGAUACUAAGCCAUGCGAGUCUUUGCAGUAAUGCAAGGCAUACGGCUCAGUAACACGUAGUCAACUUACCCUAUGGACGAGGAUAAUCUCGGGAAACUGAGCAUAAUACUCGAUAGAUCAUAAUGCCUGGAAUGGUUUAUGGUUGAAAUGAUUCGUCGCCAUAGGAUGGGACUGCGGCCUAUCAGCUUGUUGGUGAGGUAAUGGCCCACCAAGGCGAUUACAGGUACGGGCUCUGAGAGGAGAAGCCCGGAGAUGGGUACUGAGACAAGGACCCAGGCCCUAUGGGGCGCAGCAGGCGAGAAAACUUUGCAAUGUGCGAAAGCACGACAAGGUUAAUCCGAGUGAUUUCUGCUAAAGAAAUCUUUUGCAAGUCAUAAAACCACUAGUGAAUAAGGGGUGGGCAAGUUCUGGUGUCAGCCGCCGCGGUAAAACCAGCACCUCAAGUGGUCAGGAGGAUUAUUGGGCCUAAAGCAUCCGUAGCCGGCUCUGUAAGUUUUCGGUUAAAUCCAUGUGCUCAACAUAUGGGCUGCCGAAAAUACUGCAUAGCUAGGGAGUGGGAGAGGUAGACGGUACUCGGUAGGAAGGGGUAAAAUCCUUUGAUCUAUCGAUGACCACCUGUGGCGAAGGCGGUCUACCAGAACACGUUCGACGGUGAGGGAUGAAAGCUGGGGGAGCAAACCGGAUUAGAUACCCGGGUAGUCCCAGCUGUAAACGAUGCAGACUCGAUGAUGCAUUGGCAUAUAGCCAGUGCAGUGUCGCAGGGAAGCCGUUAAGUCUGCCGCCUGGGAAGUACUA
RNAcentral lists this ribosomal RNA (833 nucleotides) under uncultured archaeon. Its description in RNAcentral is "bacterial SSU rRNA". It matches the Rfam family "Archaeal small subunit ribosomal RNA", at positions 1 to 840 of the family's 1478-position model. The record is from RNAcentral.